AGCAGCCGCGGUAAUUCCAGCUCCAAUAGCGUAUAUUAAAGUUGUUGCAGUUAAAAAGCUCGUAGUUGAAUUUCGGGAUCAAAUUGUCGGUCGUGCCUCGGUACGCACUGGUAUUAUUGGUUCCUACCUUCUGAAGAACCGCGAUGUCAUUAAUUUGGUGUCGUGGGGAAUCAGGACUGUUACUUUGAAAAAAUUAGAGUGUUUAAAGCAGGCUUACGCUUUGAANACAUUAGCAUGGAAUAAUGAAAUAGGACGUUUGAUUCUAUUUUGUUGGUUUCUAGGAUUGACGUAAUGAUUAAUAGGGAUAGUUGGGGGCAUUAGUAUUCAAUUGUCAGAGGUGAAAUUCUUGGAUUUAUUGAAGACUAACUACUGCGAAAGCAUUUGCCAAGGAUGUUUUCAUUAAUCAAGAACGAAAGUUAGGGGAUCGAAGACGAUCAGAUACCGUCGUAGUCUUAACCAUAAACUACGCCGACUAGGGAUCGGAUGAUGUUAAUUUUUUAAUGACUCAUUCGGCGCCUUA
Molecule: ribosomal RNA, 520 nt
Filed under: uncultured Glomus
Lineage: Eukaryota; Fungi; Glomeromycota; Glomeromycetes; Glomerales; Glomeraceae
Description: SSU rRNA
Rfam family: Eukaryotic small subunit ribosomal RNA
Source: RNAcentral